UACGUAGGAGGCAAGCGUUGUCCGGAAUUACUGGGCGUAAAGCGCGUGUAGGUGGUGGGACAAGUCUGCUGUGAAAGCGCCUGGCUUAACCGGGCGAGGUCGGCGGAAACUGUCCGACUCGAGGACGGUAGAGGGGGGUGGAAUUCCCGGUGUAGUGGUGAAAUGCGUAGAUAUCAGGAGGAACACCUGUGGUGUAGACGGCUUUCUGGACCAUAGCUGACGCUGAGACACGAAAGCGUGGGUAGCAAACAGG
Molecule: ribosomal RNA, 253 nt
Filed under: uncultured bacterium
Lineage: Bacteria
Description: partial 16S ribosomal RNA
Rfam family: Bacterial small subunit ribosomal RNA
Source: RNAcentral